Molecule: ribosomal RNA, 435 nt
Filed under: uncultured Anaerolineae bacterium
Lineage: Bacteria; Bacillati; Chloroflexota; Anaerolineae
Description: partial 16S ribosomal RNA
Rfam family: Bacterial small subunit ribosomal RNA
Source: RNAcentral
CCUACGGGAGGCAGCAGUGAGGAAUAUUGCGCAAUGGGCGCAAGCCUGACGCAGCAACGCCGCGUGGAGGACGACGGCCUUCGGGUCGUAAACUCCUUUUCUGCCGGAUGAGUGGGGACAGUACGGCAGGAAUCAGCCUCGGCUAACUACGUGCCAGCAGCCGCGGUAAAACGUAGGAGGCGAGCGUUAUCCGGAUUUACUGGGCGUAAAGCGUGUGCAGGCGGCCUGGCAGGUCGGGCGUGAAAUCCCCUGGCUUAACCGGGGGGGGUCGUCCGAAACCGCGGGGCUUGAGGGCCGAGGAGGGACGUGAAAUCCCCGGUGUAGGGGUGAAAUGCGUAGAGAUCGGGAGGAACACCAGUGGCGCGGGCGGCGUCCGGGUCGGCCCCUGACGCUCAGACACGAAAGCGCGGGGAGCGAACGGGAUUAGAACCCCCG